RNAcentral lists this ribosomal RNA (253 nucleotides) under uncultured bacterium. RNAcentral describes it as "partial 16S ribosomal RNA". It matches the Rfam family "Bacterial small subunit ribosomal RNA", at positions 524 to 776 of the family's 1533-position model. The record is from RNAcentral.
UACGGAGGGUGCGAGCGUUAAUCGGAAUCACUGGGCGUAAAGCGCGCGUAGGCUGUUUUGUAAGUCAGGGGUGAAAUCCCACCGCCCAACGGUGGAACUGCCUUUGAAACUGCGAGACUUGAGUACGGGAGAGGGUGGCAGAAUUCCAGGUGUAGGGGUGAAAUCCGUAGAUAUCUGGAGGAACACCGGUGGCGAAGGCGGCCACCUGGCCCGUAACUGACGCUGAGGUGCGAAAGCGUGGGUAGCAAACAGG